UACGUAGGGUGCAAGCGUUGUCCGGAAUUAUUGGGCGUAAAGCGCUUGUAGGCGGUUUGUCGCGUCUGCUGUGAAAUUUCGGGGCUCAACCCCGAACUUGCAGUGGGUACGGGCAGACUAGAGUGUGGUAGGGGAGACUGGAAUUCCUGGUGUAGCGGUGAAAUGCGCAGAUAUCGGGAGGAACACCUGUGGCGAAGGCGGCCAUCUGGACGGUAACUGACGCUGAGACGCGAAAGCGUGGGUAGCAAACAGG
Molecule: ribosomal RNA, 253 nt
Filed under: uncultured bacterium
Lineage: Bacteria
Description: partial 16S ribosomal RNA
Rfam family: Bacterial small subunit ribosomal RNA
Source: RNAcentral